CCAAGGUAGGUAUUACUGAGUUACGCUCUACAACCCUUUGUGACAUACCUAUAACUGUUGCUUCGGCGGGUAGGGUCUCCGCGACCCUCCCGGCCUCCCGCCUCCGGGCGGGUCGGCGCCCGCCGGAGGAUAACCAAACUCUGAUUUAACGACGUUUCUUCUGAGUGGUACAAGCAAAUAAUCAAAACUUUUAACAACGGAUCUCUUGGUUCUGGCAUCGAUGAAGAACGCAGCGAAAUGCGAUAAGUAAUGUGAAUUGCAGAAUUCAGUGAAUCAUCGAAUCUUUGAACGCACAUUGCGCCCGCCAGCAUUCUGGCGGGCAUGCCUGUUCGAGCGUCAUUUCAACCCUCAAGCUCUGCUUGGUGUUGGGGCCCUACAGCUGAUGUAGGCCCUCAAAGGUAGUGGCGGACCCUCUCGGAGCCUCCUUUGCGUAGUAACUUUACGUCUCGCACUGGGAUCCGGAGGGACUCUUGCCGUAAAACCCCCAAUUUUCCAAAGGUUGACCUCGGAUCAGGUAGGAAUACCCGCUGAACUUAAGCAUAUCAAUAAG
This 550-nucleotide ribosomal RNA is filed under the name Colletotrichum siamense. Its description in RNAcentral is "eukaryotic LSU rRNA". The stretch from base 186 to 339 matches the Rfam family "5.8S ribosomal RNA". The record is from RNAcentral. Lineage: Eukaryota; Fungi; Ascomycota; Sordariomycetes; Glomerellales; Glomerellaceae.